CGUGUAGGCGGCUCGGUAAGUCCGCUGUGAAAGUCCAGGGCUCAACCCUGGAAUGCCGGUGGAAACUGUCGAGCUAGAGUCCGGAAGAGGCGAGUGGAAUUCCUGGUGUAGCGGUGAAAUGCGCAGAUAUCAGGAGGAACACCAAUGGCGAAGGCAGCUCGCUGGGACGGUACUGACGCUGAGACGCGAAAGCGUGGGGAGCAAACAGGAUUAGAUACCCUGGUAGUCCACGCCGUAAACGAUGGGCACUAGGUGUGGGGGGUGUCGACUCCCUCCGUGCCGACGCUAACGCAUUAAGUGCCCCGCCUGGGGAGUACGGCCGCAAGGCUAAA
RNAcentral lists this ribosomal RNA (332 nucleotides) under uncultured bacterium. RNAcentral describes it as "bacterial SSU rRNA". It matches the Rfam family "Bacterial small subunit ribosomal RNA", at positions 568 to 898 of the family's 1533-position model. The record is from RNAcentral.